AAGUUUUCGGAUGGAUUUAGAACAGCUUAGUGGCGGACGGGUGAGUAACGCGUGGGUAACCUGCCUCACACUGGGGGAUAACAGUUAGAAAUAGCUGCUAAUACCGCAUAAGCGCACAGGAUUGCAUGAUCCAGUGUGAAAAACUCCGGUGGUAUGAGAUGGACCCGCGUCUGAUUAGCCAGUUGGCGGGGUAACGGCCCACCAAAGCGACGAUCAGUAGCCGACCUGAGAGGGUGACCGGCCACAUUGGGACUGAGAUACGGCCCAGACUCC
RNAcentral lists this ribosomal RNA (273 nucleotides) under uncultured Lachnospiraceae bacterium. RNAcentral describes it as "partial 16S ribosomal RNA". It matches the Rfam family "Bacterial small subunit ribosomal RNA", at positions 68 to 339 of the family's 1533-position model. Lineage: Bacteria; Bacillati; Bacillota; Clostridia; Lachnospirales; Lachnospiraceae. The record is from RNAcentral.